UCCCUGGUGGUCCAGUGGUUAAGACUCUGAACUCCCAGUUAGGGGGCCCAGGUUCAAUCCCUAGUUAGGGAA
RNAcentral lists this transfer RNA (72 nucleotides) under Bos taurus (domestic cattle). It matches the Rfam family "tRNA". Rfam says of the family: Transfer RNA (tRNA) molecules are approximately 80 nucleotides in length. Their secondary structure includes four short double-helical elements and three loops (D, anti-codon, and T loops). Further hydrogen bonds mediate the characteristic L-shaped molecular structure. tRNAs have two regions of fundamental functional importance: the anti-codon, which is responsible for specific mRNA codon recognition, and the 3' end, to which the tRNAs corresponding amino acid is attached (by aminoacyl-tRNA synthetases). tRNAs cope with the degeneracy of the genetic code in two manners: having more than one tRNA (with a specific anti-codon) for a particular amino acid; and 'wobble' base-pairing, i.e. permitting non-standard base-pairing at the 3rd anti-codon position. The record is from Rfam by way of RNAcentral. RNAcentral also lists the same sequence under 1 other name. Lineage: Eukaryota; Metazoa; Chordata; Mammalia; Artiodactyla; Bovidae.